Molecule: ribosomal RNA, 451 nt
Filed under: uncultured bacterium
Lineage: Bacteria
Description: bacterial SSU rRNA
Rfam family: Bacterial small subunit ribosomal RNA
Source: RNAcentral
AGUCAACGCUGGCGGCGUGCCUAACACAUGCAAGUCGAACGAGAAAGUGGAGCAAUCCAUGAGUAAAGUGGCGCACGGGUGAGUAACACGUGACUAACCUACCCUUGAGUGGGGGAUAACCUAGGGAAACCUGGGCUAAUACCGCAUAAUACCUACGGGUCAAAGGAGCAAUUCGCUUUAGGAGGGGGUCGCGGCAGAUUAGUUAGUUGGCGGGGUAAUGGCCCACCAAGACGAUGAUCNGUAUCCGGCCUGAGAGGGCGCACGGACACACUGGAACUGAAACACGGUCCAGACUCCUACGGGAGGCAGCAGUGGGGAAUUUUGCGCAAUGGGGGAAACCCUGACGCAGCAACGCCGCGUGGAGGAUGAAGACCCUUGGGUCGUAAACUCCUUUCGAUCGGGACGAUAAUGACGGUACCGGAAGAAGAAGCCCCGGCUAACUUCGUGCCAG